Molecule: ribosomal RNA, 422 nt
Filed under: uncultured bacterium
Lineage: Bacteria
Description: bacterial SSU rRNA
Rfam family: Bacterial small subunit ribosomal RNA
Source: RNAcentral
UGAGGAAUAUUGGACAAUGGGCGAAAGCCUGAUCCAGCCAUGCCGCGUGCAGGAAGAAGCAUCUAUGGUGUGUAAACUGCUUUUGUACGGGAAGAAACACUCCUUCGUGAAGGAGCUUGACGGUACCGUAAGAAUAAGGAUCGGCUAACUCCGUGCCAGCAGCCGCGGUAAUACGGAGGAUCCAAGCGUUAUCCGGAAUCAUUGGGUUUAAAGGGUCCGUAGGCGGUUUAGUAAGUCAGUGGUGAAAGCCCAUCGCUCAACGAUGGAACGGCCAUUGAUACUGCUAGACUUGAAUUACAAGGAAGUAACUAGAAUAUGUAGUGUAGCGGUGAAAUGCUUAGAUAUUACAUGGAAUACCAAUUGCGAAGGCAGGUUACUACUUGUGGAUUGACGCUGAUCGACGAAAGCGUGGGGAGCAAACA